Molecule: unclassified non-coding RNA, 311 nt
Filed under: Hevea brasiliensis (rubber tree)
Lineage: Eukaryota; Viridiplantae; Streptophyta; Magnoliopsida; Malpighiales; Euphorbiaceae
Source: RNAcentral
UUCAUCGUAGGGAGGGUACUCGAGUGCGUCGUUGUCCUCCUGCGGUUUGUCAGCGAGCGCCAUGUUGAAAAGCUUGUGGGCGGAUUCGGUCGCCGGAGCUCCGCCGAGGUCCCAUGGAGAUUUGGGGUUGCCGAGGUCGGACCAGACGGCGGGGAGGGCGGAGAGCAUUUGAUCGAAGAAAUCGUCGUGCUCGGCGCCGGAGUGGAAGUGGGAUUGUGCGCCGCCGGCGGGCUGGAUCUGCUGGUGUUGCUGAUGGUGGUGGUUGUUGAGCUCCGGGAGGGGGAUGCGGCCGGAGGUGGGUGAGGGAAUUG